UACGAAGGGAGCUAGCGUUGUUCGGAAUUACUGGGCGUAAAGGGCGCGUAGGCGGUUUAGCAAGUUGGAUGUGAAAGCCCAGGGCUCAACCCUGGAACUGCAUUCAAGACUGCUUUACUUGAAUUCGGUAGAGGUUAGUGGAAUUCCCAGUGUAGAGGUGAAAUUCGUAGAGAUUGGUAAGAACACCCGUGGCGAAGGCGGCUAACUGGACCGACAUUGACGCUGAGGCGCGAAAGCGUGGGGAUCAAACAGG
Molecule: ribosomal RNA, 253 nt
Filed under: uncultured bacterium
Lineage: Bacteria
Description: partial 16S ribosomal RNA
Rfam family: Bacterial small subunit ribosomal RNA
Source: RNAcentral